This is a ribosomal RNA of Mustela putorius furo (domestic ferret), 127 nucleotides long. The record is from Ensembl. Lineage: Eukaryota; Metazoa; Chordata; Mammalia; Carnivora; Mustelidae.
AUCUACGGCCAUACCACCCUGAACGCGCCCGAUCUCGUCUGAUCUCGGAAGCUAAGCAGGGUCGGGCCUGGUUAGUACUUGGAUGGGAGGAAUGGGACCUCUCUUGUGAUAAUGGGGAAUGUACACA